This 165-nucleotide ribosomal RNA is filed under the name uncultured eukaryote. Its description in RNAcentral is "partial 18S ribosomal RNA". It matches the Rfam family "Eukaryotic small subunit ribosomal RNA", at positions 1299 to 1458 of the family's 1831-position model. The record is from RNAcentral.
UGGUGGAGUGAUUUGUCUGGUUGAUUCCGUUAACGAACGAGAUCUCGACCCUUAAAUAGGUGGCUUGUCGCUUAGACUUUAUCCUCGGACUUAGUCGAGACGAGCAACUACUUCUUAAGGGGACUGCGUUGCGACUAUAGCACGCGGAAGAGCGAGCCAAUAGCA